UACGUAGGGUGCGAGCGUUGCCCGGAAUUAUUGGGCGUAAAGAGCUCGUAGGCGGUCUGUCGCGUCUGCUGUGAAAACCCGAGGCUCAACCUCGGGCCUGCAGUGGGUACGGGCAGACUAGAGUGCGGUAGGGGAGAAUGGAAUUCCUGGUGUAGCGGUGGAAUGCGCAGAUAUCAGGGGGAACACCGAUGGCGAAGGCAGUUCUCUGGGCCGUAACUGACGCUGAGGAGCGAAAGCGUGGGGAGCGAACAGG
This 253-nucleotide ribosomal RNA is filed under the name uncultured bacterium. RNAcentral's name for it is "partial 16S ribosomal RNA". It matches the Rfam family "Bacterial small subunit ribosomal RNA", at positions 524 to 776 of the family's 1533-position model. The record is from RNAcentral.